RNAcentral lists this transfer RNA (91 nucleotides) under Deltaproteobacteria bacterium CG11_big_fil_rev_8_21_14_0_20_49_13. Its description in RNAcentral is "tRNA-Ser". It matches the Rfam family "tRNA". Rfam says of the family: Transfer RNA (tRNA) molecules are approximately 80 nucleotides in length. Their secondary structure includes four short double-helical elements and three loops (D, anti-codon, and T loops). The record is from RNAcentral. Lineage: Bacteria; Deltaproteobacteria.
GGAGAGGUGACCGAGCUGGUCGAUGGUACUGGUCUUGAAAACCAGCGACCCUUUACGGGGUCCGUGGGUUCGAAUCCCACCCUCUCCGCCA